This 262-nucleotide ribosomal RNA is filed under the name Stenotrophomonas rhizophila. RNAcentral's name for it is "partial 16S ribosomal RNA". It matches the Rfam family "Bacterial small subunit ribosomal RNA", at positions 519 to 780 of the family's 1533-position model. Lineage: Bacteria; Pseudomonadati; Pseudomonadota; Gammaproteobacteria; Lysobacterales; Lysobacteraceae. The record is from RNAcentral.
GGUAAUACGAAGGGUGCAAGCGUUACUCGGAAUUACUGGGCGUAAAGCGUGCGUAGGUGGUUGUUUAAGUCUGUUGUGAAAGCCCUGGGCUCAACCUGGGAAUUGCAGUGGAUACUGGGCGACUAGAGUGUGGUAGAGGGUAGUGGAAUUCCCGGUGUAGCAGUGAAAUGCGUAGAGAUCGGGAGGAACAUCCAUGGCGAAGGCAGCUACCUGGACCAACACUGACACUGAGGCACGAAAGCGUGGGGAGCAAACAGGAUUA